RNAcentral lists this transfer RNA (72 nucleotides) under Camelus bactrianus (Bactrian camel). It matches the Rfam family "tRNA". From Rfam's summary of the family: Transfer RNA (tRNA) molecules are approximately 80 nucleotides in length. Their secondary structure includes four short double-helical elements and three loops (D, anti-codon, and T loops). RNAcentral also lists the same sequence under 2 other names. The record is from Rfam by way of RNAcentral. Lineage: Eukaryota; Metazoa; Chordata; Mammalia; Artiodactyla; Camelidae.
GAGGGUAUAGCUCAGUGGUAGAAUGUGUGCAUAGCAUGCACAAGAUCCUGAGUUCAAUCCCCAGUCCCUCCA